AGUGAACGCUGGCGGUAGGCCUAACACAUGCAAGUCGAACGGCAGCACAGUAAGAGCUUGCUCUUACGGGUGGCGAGUGGCGGAUGGGUGAGGAAUACAUCGGAAUCUACUUUUUCGUGGGGGAUAACGUAGGGAAACUUACGCUAAUACCGCAUACGACCUACGGGUGAAAGCAGGGGAUCUUCGGACCUUGCGCGACUGAAUGAGCCGAUGUCGGAUUAGCUAGUUGGCGGGGUAAAGGCCCACCAAGGCGACGAUCCGUAGCUGGUCUGAGAGGAUGAUCGGCCACACUGGAACUGAGACACGGUCCAGACUCCUACGGGAGGCAGCAGUGGGGAAUAUUGGACAAUGGGCGCAAGCCUGAUCCAGCCAUACCGCGUGGGUGAAGAAGGCCUUCGGGUUGUAAAGCCCUUUUGUUGGGAAAGAAAAGCAGCAGGUUAAUACCCCGCUGUUCUGACGGUACCCAAAGAAUAAGCACCGGCUAACUUCGUG
Molecule: ribosomal RNA, 492 nt
Filed under: uncultured bacterium
Lineage: Bacteria
Description: partial 16S ribosomal RNA
Rfam family: Bacterial small subunit ribosomal RNA
Source: RNAcentral